GAUCACCUCCUUAGAGUUUGAUCCUGGCUCAGGACGAACGCUGGCGGCGUGCUUAACACAUGCAAGUCGAACGAUGAACCACUUCGGUGGGGAUUAGUGGCGAACGGGUGAGUAACACGUGGGCAAUCUGCCCUUCACUCUGGGACAAGCCCUGGAAACGGGGUCUAAUACCGGAUACUGACCCUUGCAGGCAUCUGCGAGGUUCGAAAGCUCCGGCGGUGAAGGAUGAGCCCGCGGCCUAUCAGCUUGUUGGUGAGGUAAUGGCUCACCAAGGCGACGACGGGUAGCCGGCCUGAGAGGGCGACCGGCCACACUGGGACUGAGACACGGCCCAGACUCCUACGGGAGGCAGCAGUGGGGAAUAUUGCACAAUGGGCGAAAGCCUGAUGCAGCGACGCCGCGUGAGGGAUGACGGCCUUCGGGUUGUAAACCUCUUCAGCAGGAAGAAGCAAA
Molecule: ribosomal RNA, 453 nt
Filed under: Streptomyces sp. 3BA9
Lineage: Bacteria; Bacillati; Actinomycetota; Actinomycetes; Kitasatosporales; Streptomycetaceae
Description: bacterial SSU rRNA
Rfam family: Bacterial small subunit ribosomal RNA
Source: RNAcentral